RNAcentral lists this ribosomal RNA (70 nucleotides) under Escherichia coli O157:H7 str. K2192. RNAcentral's name for it is "partial 16S ribosomal RNA". It matches the Rfam family "Bacterial small subunit ribosomal RNA", at positions 1 to 68 of the family's 1533-position model. Lineage: Bacteria; Pseudomonadati; Pseudomonadota; Gammaproteobacteria; Enterobacterales; Enterobacteriaceae. The record is from RNAcentral.
UUAAAUUGAAGAGUUUGAUCAUGGCUCAGAUUGAACGCUGGCGGCAGGCCUAACAAAUGCAAGUCGAACG